RNAcentral lists this unclassified non-coding RNA (288 nucleotides) under uncultured fungus. RNAcentral's name for it is "partial contains 5.8S rRNA and ITS2". The record is from RNAcentral. Lineage: Eukaryota; Fungi.
AACGCAACUGGCGCCGGUUUACCGGCAUGCCUGUUUCAGUGUGCUAGGAGAGUAAACUAUCAUUAUAAAAUAUAAUGCGAUUGAGGUACAUUUAUGUUCUUCUUUCGUUAAAUAUGAAGGUGUGAAAGAUGAGUAAUCUCUCACACUGGCAAACGAAGUAGUCAUGCUUGCUCGUGAUCUCGUUUAACCAGUGCUAAAGGUUUUUGCUUAGCUAUAAAUCACAUCUAAUCAAUUAAAUAUCCACAAAUUGGGCAUAUAAAAUAAAAAAAAGAUACCCGCCGAACUUAA